This 502-nucleotide ribosomal RNA is filed under the name uncultured bacterium. RNAcentral describes it as "partial 16S ribosomal RNA". It matches the Rfam family "Bacterial small subunit ribosomal RNA", at positions 28 to 523 of the family's 1533-position model. The record is from RNAcentral.
GAUGAACGCUAGCGAUAGGCCUAACACAUGCAAGUCGAGGGGCAGCAUAGAGUAGCAAUACUUUGAUGGCGACCGGCGCACGGGUGAGUAACACGUAUGCAACCUACCUACUUCAGGGGAAUAACCCGGAGAAAUUCGGACUAAUACCGCAUAAUACAGGGAUGCCGCAUGGCAAUAUUUGUUAAAGAUUUAUCGGAUGUAGAUGGGCAUGCGUUCCAUUAGCUUGUUGGUGAGGUAACGGCUCACCAAGGCAACGAUGGAUAGGGGAACUGAGAGGUUUGUCCCCCACACUGGAACUGAGACACGGACUAGACUCCUACGGGAGGCAGCAGUGAGGAAUAUUAAUCAAUGGACGAGAGUCUGAACCAGCCAAAUCGCGUGAAGGAAGACUGCCCUACGGGUUGUAAACUUCUUUUGUACAGGAAUAAAAGACAUUACGUGUAAUGUAUUGCAUGUCUGUACGAAUAAGCAUCGGCUAACUCCGUGCCAGCAGCCGCGGUAA